This 1996-nucleotide long non-coding RNA is filed under the name Marmota monax (woodchuck). The record is from RNAcentral. Lineage: Eukaryota; Metazoa; Chordata; Mammalia; Rodentia; Sciuridae.
GGGGGAGUUGUGAUUCAGCGAAAUAAAAUGAUCCACCCUGCACGCGCACACACGGAAAUAGCACAACUUCGUUCUCCUGUGAUGCCCCCAAAGCUCGGCCUUGGAUGAAGAUGGGAAAUCCCACUUUGGGUGUAGUGGACGGUGUAAAUACUUAUGUUCAGGCCCGUGGAUGAGUCAUGUGCUUCUGCUGAGUGGCUGACCUCCCUUUUACUGAAGAAAACGCUUUGUUUUUGAAUUGUUGUUUUAAUCUGCUUGCUUAUUUGUUUGUUUAUGCAACCUGGUAAGGUUUAUCGUCUUGGUUCUUGGGUUCAUUUUUGUGUUUAUAUGUUGGUUACAAGUGACGUCUUGUACUCUGUGCCUUGUAAGAAUCGGAAAUGUUUUUUGAGAAGGCUCUUCUAAGUCCUUAGUUACCAAAAAAUCAAGCUGCAGUGUGUCUCUAAUCCAGUGACUUUUUGGUGCUGGAAUUAUGUUUGGGAGAUUUUUAUGAGUAGAACUGUUAAGUUUCCAAAAUUGUUAGCCCUGGGAAUUUGUAGAUCUUGGAAGUUGUAAAGAAAGUUAUAUUCAAAAGAAUUUAUGAAUGUGUUUCCAAUUUCAAGGCAAUCUUGUAUGCCACAGUCUGUUUUAUGACUUUGACAAUAAUUUAAUGAACAUUCCUUUAGGUUUAAUUUGGAUAGGAGUUAUCUUUUCACCAAGACAUGGUAGGUAGCCAACCCCUUCCCCCCAAAAAAAACUUUGGGGAAAAGUGAACCUCUAAGAUGAUUUCCAUUGAUCAAAUUGAGAUGGAAAAGCCUAAUCUGGAACUUACAUACAUUGCUGCUCUUAUCCUCCAUAACUCUUAACUUGGGUAGGCGUGGAAAGUAUCCAGAAGCUCAGGCUGGAGUAAAGUUGUCUAUAAACCUCUUAAGAUGAUUUUAGAUGGUUUCAACUGAAAGAUUCCACCUCCUUGUAACUUGCCAGCAUCUCAUACAUGUAGAUUGCUGAAAAUUAAAGGAAUUUUGCAUUCUGAGAAAUUAGAACCAUGAGAGUGGUUAAGGAUAGUUUGGGGUUUCUAUAUUCCUAGCUUGGAGAACAACAAGGCAAAAAAAAAAAAAGAAAGAAAGAAGAAAGGUUAGGCCUCUUUAGUAAAAUUUCCACUAAAUUAUUGAAUUGUUUAAAGGAAUUUAGACUUUGUUUCCAAAAGUUACCUUUUUGAGCCAGUUUUUGUGAUCUUUGUACUAAAUUUACCUUUUUUUGGAGGUGGGGGAGAAUGCAAUAUUUUCACAUUACACAAUUCAGGUUAUUGAAUGACUUGAGAUCCACAGAUUCUGGAGAGAUUUGAAGUUUGUUUUUUAAGCAAAAACUGUUUGAUGCCUCAGCAAUUUGAAUCCUGGGCUAUUAAAUGAGCUUCCUACAACCCACUGUCAUGGUCUGUCAAGAUUGUAUGGAUGUCAGUUAUUUUGAUUUCUAAUUUUGAUUAAUCUUGUAAAGUAGACCAUGUUGGUCUUAAUAAAAGGAGAGAAAAGCUGCUACUAAUGUUUCAUAAAUCUUUAUGUUUAGAAAAGACUGGACAUUUACUAGGUGAAUUGUGGGGGAUUCCUUAUUGAUGCUAACAUAAGACAUGUUUGUAAAAACAAAGUGUCCUUAAGCUACUUAAAAAUAAAUAAAUAAAUUUGGGCUGGGAUUGUGGCUCAGCGGUAGAGCACUGGCCUAGCAUGGGCACGACCCGGGUUCGAUUCUCAGCACCACAUAAAAAUAAAGGCAUUGUGUUGUGUCCAGCUACAAAAAGAUAUAUUCUCUCUCAAAAAAUAAAUAAAUAAGUUCCGUGAAGGCAUAGUUUUUUGUUUAUCAUUCUUUCUGUUUGUUGUGUACUCAAUGCUUAGAAGAUGAUCUUAAAUUCUUGAGUGAAUAAGCUAAGAGAUAAUUGAACAAGUAUUUGGCAUGUCCAUAUUACAAAAUGCAAGUAAUUCCUUUAAAAAUAUUGUUAGUGGACAUAAUUGAUCAAUAGUGACUAAUAAGG